Molecule: ribosomal RNA, 571 nt
Filed under: Clavulina amazonensis
Lineage: Eukaryota; Fungi; Basidiomycota; Agaricomycetes; Cantharellales; Hydnaceae
Description: eukaryotic LSU rRNA
Rfam family: Eukaryotic large subunit ribosomal RNA
Source: RNAcentral
CAUAUCMAAAAGCGGAGGAAAAGAAACUAACAAGGAUUCCCCUAGUAACGGCGAGUGAAGCGGGAAAAGCUCAAAUUUAAAAUCUGGCAAUCUUUGGUUGUCCGAAUUGUAAUCUAGAGAAGCGUUUUCCGUGCUGGACUGUGUGCAAGUUUCCUGGAUACGGAACAUCAUAGAGGGUGAGAAUCCCGUCCUUCACACAGACUGCCAGUGCUUUGUGAUGCGCUCUCGACGAGUCGAGUUGUUUGGGAUUGCAGCUCAAAAUGGGAGGUAAAUUCCUUCUAAAGCUAAAUAUUGGCGAGAGACCGAUAGCGAACAAGUACCGUGAGGGAAAGAUGAAAAGCACUUUGGAAAGAGAGUUAAACAGUACGUGAAAUUGUUAAAAGGGAAACGCUUGAAGUCAGUCAUGUUUGCUUGGACUCAACCUAACCUCGGUUUGGUGCAUUUCCUUGCAGACGGGCCAGCGUUCAUGUUGUUUGCCAGAGAAGGAGCGAGAGAAUGUGACUCCUUWGGAGUGUUAUAGCUCUCACUCGCAUGUGGGGAACAAUAUGGAGUGGUACAGCACGCUUGUCGG